RNAcentral lists this long non-coding RNA (240 nucleotides) under Rattus norvegicus (Norway rat). Its description in RNAcentral is "long non-coding RNA NONRATT032576". Lineage: Eukaryota; Metazoa; Chordata; Mammalia; Rodentia; Muridae. The record is from RNAcentral.
CCUUGUCUUUGGAUCACAGAGUGGUGGAUCUGAAGUGUUAUGAACUCACACACAGGACAUCUGAUGACAGCAAACGGGACAUGGUGAAAUUAUUAUCUCCAUAUUCUAGGGGAGAGGACUGAGACCGAGCACGAUGUAAACAACUUCAUAGACCUUAAGUAGUGGAACAGCGAUGUGCAUGUGGGUCUGACUUCUAACCUUAAUGCUAGAUUGCUUCUGUAGGUGAGUAUAGCCAUCUAU